AGAGUUUGAUCCUGGCUCAGAACGAACGCUGGCGGCAAGCUUAACACAUGCAAGUCGAACGGACCGUAUACGCAGCUUGCUGCGUGUAUGGUUAGUGGCAGACGGGUGAGUAAUGCAUAGGAAUCUACCUAGUAGUAUGGGAUAGCCACUAGAAAUGGUGGGUAAUACUGUAUAAUCCCUGCGGGGGAAAGAUUUAUCGCUAUUAGAUGAGCCUAUGUCAGAUUAGCUAGUUGGUGGGGUAAUGGCCUACCAAGGCGGUGAUCUGUAGCUGGUCUGAGAGGAUGAUCAGCCACACUGGAACUGAGACACGGUCCAGACUCCUACGGGAGGCAGCAGUGGGGAAUAUUGGACAAUGGGCGCAAGCCUGAUCCAGCUAUGCCGCGUGAGUGAGGAAGGCCUUAGGGUUGUAAAACUCUUUCAGUAGGGAAGAUAAUGACGGUAC
RNAcentral lists this ribosomal RNA (442 nucleotides) under uncultured Anaplasma sp. Its description in RNAcentral is "bacterial SSU rRNA". It matches the Rfam family "Bacterial small subunit ribosomal RNA", at positions 8 to 478 of the family's 1533-position model. Lineage: Bacteria; Pseudomonadati; Pseudomonadota; Alphaproteobacteria; Rickettsiales; Anaplasmataceae. The record is from RNAcentral.